GAUGAACGCUAGCUACAGGCUUAACACAUGCAAGUCGAGGGGCAGCAUGAAGUCAGCUUGCUGACUUUGAUGGCGACCGGCGCACGGGUGAGUAACGCGUAUCCAACCUUCCCCUUACUCAGGAAUAGCCCGUUGAAAGACGGAUUAAUGCCUGAUGUUCUCAUGUUGCCGCAUGGCGAUAUGAGCAAAGAUUCAUCGGUAAGGGAUGGGGAUGCGUAUGAUUAGCUUGUUGGCGGGGUAACGCCCACCAAGGCGACGAUCAUUAGGGGUUCUGAGAGGAAGGUCCCCCANACUGGAACUGAGACACGGUCCAGACUCCUACGGGAGCAGCAGUGAGGAAUAUUGGUCAAUGGGCGAGAGCCUGAACCAGCCAAGUAGCGUGAAGGAAGACUGCCCUAUGGGUUGUAAACUUCUUUUGUUCGGGAAUAAAGUGCAGUAUGUAUACUGUUUUGUAUGUACCGUUCGAAUAAGCAUCGGCUAAUUCCG
This 486-nucleotide ribosomal RNA is filed under the name uncultured bacterium. RNAcentral describes it as "bacterial SSU rRNA". It matches the Rfam family "Bacterial small subunit ribosomal RNA", at positions 28 to 505 of the family's 1533-position model. The record is from RNAcentral.